CGAAUCUGCGUACAAAUAAUGUCCAUGAAAUGAUUUAUGCGAGAAUAAUGGCCCCUGGCCGAUAUUUAACUCCGAUCAUUUACGUUUCCAGCGACUAUUGUACCUUCUCGCUUUUAUUUCUCUUGCCCACCAUGUUACCGUUCAUAUCUUGCGGUCGUUGGUCGUCGGCGUGUGAAACAAAGAAUUUUAUAAAAUAGCAAGUUUGCAAUUUGAUGGAUCGGUUUGUCGUGUACGCGGGAUAUUCAAGUAGCUGCUAUCCGAUGUUUAUCACGCGAACGAUAGCUUUGCGAAAGAGGCAGAAGAAGACACAGAAUUUCGCUGUCGUCUUCGAUAGGGAUCGUAAUAAGAAAUCGCCGAUAUGAAGCAUCGACCGACGUUUGCUGUUGCGUUGCUUUCGAAAGACGUUGAAACUUCCACCUUCUCAUAUUUUCACGUUUCGCGGGGAACGUUACCUGGCCGUAACUACGCGAACACCCUGUGUAUACAAUUUAUUUUGGAAAUAAUUUAAUCACUACGUCGCUUUGCAUCGUUCGUGUGAUAUAACCGAAUCGCGGAUGCGUUUGAUUUAUUUAACCCCACGUUGCCAGCACACGGUUAAAUAAUUAAGGAAAAUCAGGUGAAAACUUUAACAAGCGAUGCGACAUUCGCGAUAACGUUAGAAACAUUAAUUCAAACGUAACUGACGGCUGCUACCACAUAAUAAAACGAUUAAAGCUAACGAUAUUUAAAUAUCGCUGUGUAAUUUCAACGCGCAGCGGUUGCACGUCCGAUGGUAAAAAAAAAUUUCCCGAUCGGAAAUUACAUUUUCAUAACAAAUUCAAUUUCCUUUUAUCUGUCUUAAUGAAAACUGUAAUGAAAAAAUUCUACUUAAAACUUGGUUAAUUGUAUCGCGCCUCUCGCAGGCGCGGUGGUAUAAAAGGAAAAAGCCUAUUCUUAAUCGUUCGUUUAAACCAAUUAUUAUUGCUCGUUAUUAUCGUAUCGUCACCAUUAUGUUCGUAAGUAACAGCUCUUUCCUAUACUCUCGUUCCUUGCGUCCAAUCAUUCGUACAAGUUUACACGCGCUGAAAGCGCGUUUACGAUCCCCUAACAACACGUAUAAUGCGAUACACCUUUACAAUAGGCGAAAGGAUGGAACGUUUCUCGCGUUGAUUUGCAUCGCAAACGAGUUGCACGGAUUUUCGUUCCGUUGUAAUACAGAUAUUGGGAAAAAUCCUGUAUCGGGGCACGCUCCGAGGGGCCACUUGCAGAGUAAUUGCAUUCGAAAGCACGGUCGAUAGCAAAAGAGAGAGGGGGGGGGGGAAAUGAAGAGGGAGGGAAAGAAAUGCCGGUCUCGAAGCGAGCAAUACAGUGGCUCGCAAAAGUAUUCCAACGUUCGAAGCUUUUCUUUGUACAGAUUAUAAAAAAUAUUUUCUUUCGUUAGCGCCGUAACGAGACUCGACUGUCGUCGUUACAUCGAUGAAAUUUCAAACCAACGAAGAUGCGCGUACGGAAGUUACGAGAUACUCGUUGAAAGUGUACGUUUCGCGAAGAUUACCAAAGUACUUGAACGGACAGUUAUUCGCUAGAUUAUCUUUAGCGCUGGUCCUAUGUUUAAGACUUUUCUAUUAAGAUUAUUUUCUAUCAUUAUUCGCGCUGUAUGCCGAUUUUCCAGCGAGCGUACGUUUCCAAUGAACGGCGUGUAACACUUUUAUGUACAGUUUCAAGAUGCUUCCAAAUCGUAUCGUUGCAAUCAUCGAUAGUCGUGUCUCGUCGUAGUGCCGGCAACCUUUGAAGAAGCUUUGAAGAAGUAGAAUGCAUGUAAUAUCUAGAUAAAUGAUACAUUAGGUCGUGCGAAAAGUUUCUUUCGUUUUAGAAGGAGAUAAUGGAUGCACAUUUUCCGUUUUAUAUUAUUUUAUCGAAUUACGUACGAUCCAUUUUCUUCUAUCAAACUAAAGAUCACGACGUCCGACGGAUUAGGUUUCACGUUUGUAUAAAGAUGCGUCGUUGUAAAAAACACGUGUCUGUAGAAGACAGACGCUUUCCGGACAACCUAAUACGUUGGCAAAAGCAAAAGUAGUAAAUGCUGGAAUACUUUCGUGAGUCACUGUACCUUCGCUUUGUAACGAAGAGAACGUUACGCAAUCUUGUGCUGUCGCGUCGCGGUAAAUAUCGAAGAUCAAUGAUAUAAUUAGGGAUAUCGAAUCCUUUAAAUGCAUUCUGUCGUCUUAAGGAACGAAUAGCCGAAGAGAACGUGACGCUAUAGACUAUGGUAUAUAUAAAUACCAUGUGUCCUAUUUACAGUUUGUUCCAAAACAAUGGCGUUCAAUUCAAUUGUAUCAGUCGCUCUGGAAACGCGACGCGCGUAAUAAUUGACUCUGUUUAGUUUCACCGAAUUCUCUCUUUUUUCUCCCCUCCCCCCCCCCUGUAUUUUCCUUUUUUCCCGUCUCUCUUUCCCCUAACUUCUCUGUCAGUUCCAUUACCAGCCGGAGUCUGUGCGAGGAUAUCGGGUUGAACGCAUUAAUUACUUUCAUGAUCGACUAAAUUGCACGGACUGAUGCCGGCGAAUUGUAUUGUUUUGCUACCGUACUCACGCCAUUGCCGCUGCACUCGCUACAUCCAUGCAAUUUUCCUUUUAAUUUAGCUUGCAAUUUCUUUCGCGACCAUUUUUCCCCGAUUCUUAUUCGACUGAAAAAUGUUACUCUCUAUCGACAGACAAAUAACACAGUUCGGCAUUGAUUGCUUUCACUUUUUCUCGCAAAACCGCUGGAAAUAGUUGAAAAUGAAUUUAACGUUUCAGCUGUUAAGCGCUUUAUGUAUGUGCCGUUUCAGAUAAAUGAGAAGAACGUUUUAAAAAGACAGUCAAUGGCUUAUACAUAUGCGCUCUAUACGAUUUAUUACACAGACAAAUUGAUCAGUAUAUUGUUUCUUAUUAUACAGGGAUACUAAAUAUCGAUCUAAUAUCUGGUAGAAAUAAUCUUCCAUGUGCAUUCAAUCGUUUUGUAGUCUACGUACGUAGUAACUUGUAUUAUUUUACUCUUCAGCAAUACGAACGUCGUACAAUGUUCUGCUGUCUACUGCGAAUUUUAGAGUACAAUUUCUGUGAAGAAGGUGAAUUUACGCAACGACUAUGUAGCACAGUUUUAAAUGGUAAAAAAUGGAAACAGGAGCAGGAAUAGGAAAAAUUGUACAAUCACAAUUUUCAUUGCACGAUAUUGAAAAUUAAGCGAUAUUUCGAUAUUAAUAGAAGCUGUUCACUUUAAAUUAAUACGAUGCUGUACACGAGAAUCCUGCCCGAUGCAUAUCCAUGAACGUCAAUACAGUGCGCGUUUCGUAUUUAAUUGUAUAUCAUUAUAUAAAUCAAAUUCGUUCAUUUAAUACACAGACAGACACGCUAUACCAUUUAGAACCCUUUGAUCAGAUACGCCAUUACUGGCCAUCAGUUUGCUAUUAAUUCCACGUUUCCUGCCAUUGCCGUUUGAAAAUUCUUCUGUCCCAGUUGUUCGUUAAGGUUCACUUGUUGAUCUUCCAAAUAUUUCUUUACACUUUUUUUUUUAUUUUUUUCUUUUAACGACAUCCUAUUGCGAAUCGUUCUUACGCAAAUUUAAUUAGUUUUAACGGGCGAAUGGCAAGCCAAUUUCGCAGAUUAUACCGUAAUCCUGUUAGAGUAAUAUCGAUUCCAUUUAACUUUCACGGGAUUCAAUUGUACAACCUAUUUCGAUUUCUUUCUGCGAUUAAUACGUUCACCGAUUUAUUCAUAACAUUCCGCAUUAUGGGACGUGAACGAGAGCACGUGAAUUAUUACGCGCAGUAAUGAAUACUGUCUGUUAAUCGCCACUGAUUACGCGGGUAAACCCGAAAACGAAUUUUACGCGUUCAAUCGCUUAACAGGGAAUUUUCAUAACUGAGAAAGUUUGCAACGUAGAAAACCUAGUUAAUACGCGUGGAUGCUCGUACGUUCAUAGGAGAUUUACAGAUACAAGAACGCAGAGAAUUCGCGUGAAACGCAAACGCUCGCGGAUAUAUUAUUAUUAUUAUUAUUACUGCGCUUAGUCCGUGUCUUUCGGCUUUGGACCGAAUCCCAAAGGUUUCACGUCUCUUUUAUCUAAUUUCGCUUCUUAUACAUCUACCUGCCCUCUUAUCCACUCUAUUAUAUUGCGCUCCCUCAAUUAUUCUGUCUCUAAAGACUAAAAAAUCUAAUAACUAAAAACUAUUGCAACUUUUGGACUUUUGCCUGGUUGCUGCGCUUCCUUCUUGCCGUUCCUCCCCGUCUUCUAUUGCCCUUCCCUUCUCUAUCAUUGCUUUUAGAUAUAAACAGAUCGAUGAGAAUAAUUUUUGAAUCGUGGAAGAUAACUUUUUGGGAUAUUUGAAAUAUCGGAAGAAGGUCUGUGAGACGGGAAAAUUUCCAAGUGCUAAUAUAUAAUUCGACCGUUCGAUAUGAACGACAAACAUUGAUGUGAAUAAAUACGUGCGAGUGAAUUUCUCCGAGGGAAUCGAAGUAAGAGAAGAAACGAGGGCCCACGUAAUUUCUAUUAUAUCAUCCCAAGGGUUUCCGUAAGAUUGUUCGGCUUCCUUUAUACCCGGGAAACUUGAUUCUUGUCUUUGGUAUUGGUCUGUGUUCCGUGUGCUUCACAUCGCAUCCGAGUUUAGAGGAAGCGCGACGAGUAUAUUCCUCUGCUUUGACUUCGCUGCUCUUUCUAUUUGGAUUUUUUUAUCAAGUGCAGACACGUAUAACGCGUGUGUAAUAUCACGAAAACGAAAGAAGAAAGGCCUUUUGUGUCGUCCGUAAAGCGAAGACGAGGUGGGAAUGGUAUAAAUUGGAGAAUCGCAACAGGAUUGAAGUUUUGGAACAUGAGGAUCCGGUAUCCGUUUUCUAUUCCACGUAUCGCUCUUGAUUCGUUCGAUUUAUGUACGAUUAAAGCAAACGAAUCCAUCUUCCGAGUGAUUUAAUAAUGGAAGAAAGUACACAAAAAUUCGAUUUCCUCUAUCAAUAUCUGCAGGGCAACACUGGUCGCUCGUCUAUCGCAAAUCCUCUUAUAAAUCGUGUAUAAUCUUUUUUACACUAACGCAUGCUUCCGCUGUUUCGGAUGUAAACUGUCGAUUAUUCAUGGGAUUGCACGAUAAACCGGUGAGUGUUUGAAUCCGAUGAGAGGUUGAACUUUUUUAAACCCAUAACCAAUGUAGCCUUUCGUUUCGCGAACACGGGAAACUAGUAUCAGAAAAACUACGGAACGAAGAAGCUUAAGCAUUGGCAAUUACGCGAAUAACAAAAAACUUUAAUAUUAUCAUUUGUCUGUACGUAAUCCUUGUCUCGCGGCUUAGGAUGGCUUCCGGUUUGUACAUCCCCCUUUUCUAUUUUAUAAAAAAAAAAAAAAAAAAAAAAAUUUGAAUACGUAGUACGGCAAAGAUAUUUUGAUUUAUUUGAUUCUUUAUUAAAAUCAAACGAGAUAACGCUUCGGAUUAUUUUAUUGAUUCAAAACGAAAUAAAAGCUCGCUAUUGUUUCUGAUGGCUCGGAAAAUACGUUCUUUAAACAGCAAUAUGUAUAUAAAAGUGAUACGAAAGGGAGGAGACAAUAAGCUCGUAAUUCGUUAAAAAGGAAAACAGAGGAAAGUUCGUCGAACUUGCGCGUUUACCUGCUUUGCGUAUACGCAUGUGAAAAUAUUAAAACGCACAUUGCACGCAUCUCGUGACGCGUAAUCGCCAACGUAUUAUGUAUGUUUGCAUUGGAAACUACAGCCUCGUGAGCCUUGCUAGCUCGGCAUCGCGUUUCUAAAGUUUAACAUUAACGAUACAGAAUCGAUUGCUUCAUUAGAACGUGUGCGUUGAUAACGCAUCGUUAGGAGGUUUUGUAAUGCGUGACUGCGUUAUGUUUAACCUAGAUUUUUUAAUCGCGUCGCAGUAAAUACAUUUCACUGAUGUAAUGUUAAUCUUACUACGUUUUUUGUGUCAUUUUCGAACGAGUCGUAUUUUUCUUAUAGAAAUUGCAGAUUAUGCAGUUGAAGAUAUUAGGUUCGUACAGGUUAGGAAAAUUUCUUCAAUUCGAGAAAAAUAGAUAGCUAUGAAGAUUGUCUUAGAACAUUAAAUGUUCUUCUUUCGGUUGAAACGAAAGUGAAUAAGUUGAUAUAUACAAAUUUCGAGUUGUAUUUUUCUUAAAGAAACAAGAGAUUAUAUAGUUGAAGAUAUUAGGUUCAUACAGGUUAGGAAAAUUUCUUCAAUUCGAGGAAGAUAAUGAUAAAGAUUGUCUUAAAACAUUAAAUUUUGGUUGAAACGAAAGUGAAUAAGUUGAUAGAUACAAAUUUCGAGCCGUAUUUUUCUUAUAGAAAUUAUAUAUAUAGAGAUUAUAUAGUUGAAGAUAUUAGGUCCGUACAGGUUAGGAAAAUUUCUUCAAUUCGAGGAAGAUAAUGAUGAAGAUUGUCUUAGAAUAUUAAAUUUUGGUUGAAACGAAAGCGAAUAAAUUGAUAUAUACAAAUUUCGAGUCGUAUUUUUCUUAUAGAAAUCAGAGAUUAUAUAGUUGAAGAUAUUAGGUUCGUACAGGUUAGGAAAAUUUCUUCAAUUCGAGGAAGAUAGACAGCGAUGAAGAUUGUCUCAGAACAUCGAACGUUCUUCUGUAGCUGAUCGUAGCAGCUUAAGUAUAAUGAUACAUGUAACAGGAAAUGGUAUUUAUCGUAAACAAACAUUCUGUUGAAUAACAGAACGUUCGGAUAUACGGAUAAUGUAUGCACCCAUAUUUAUUUUUUAACGAGUACGUCCUCGGUUAGAUACUAUUAUUUAUCGUGGAAUAUAAAUAACCGGGCAAUGUUACACUGACAUUCAUUUCUUAUUUUGUAUAUUUCUUGUAGAUAAUAUUUUUAUAUAGAAUUUUUCGCAUACAAAAUCGUUACGUUAUCUUGACAUUUACUGUUUUCACGUCGUUUAAUAUUAAACGCGAUUCGGUCGCAUAUGCCGUAUCUGUUGCGAUCGUUCCGAUACGAAUUGAUUUAAAAAUAUUUAACAGGCAGCCGGAAACACCGAACAGUAGUUAUUUGUAUUAAUUUUUAAUUAGAAGUAUUUGCCCCGUUUUAUAGAUAAACGUCGAAAUUGUAUUAUUUGAAAUGAUAUUCGACUCGAUUAAAGGUUUAUAAUUAUU
Molecule: long non-coding RNA, 7103 nt
Organism: Bombus pyrosoma
Lineage: Eukaryota; Metazoa; Arthropoda; Insecta; Hymenoptera; Apidae
Exons: 2
Source: RefSeq, a predicted model, not a curated record